GCUCAUGUCCAGAGAGCUUGGGCGAAUAAUGUCCAUCUUAGUCCAAGCUCGUCAUCAGGUUUGGCUGUCUCAGUCAAACUUAACGGAGGCAACCAGGAGAAUGCUGCGCAGCCUCCCGGUCGAACCUGGGGUGAUAUUUGGUCCAGCAGCCCAGGAAGCGCUGGAACGGACCAUCCAGGCGGGGCAGACCAGGCAGCAGCUUGUCGGGCUUAGCCGGAUGCCUCCUCCUGAUAGACCCCCGGCCGGCAGGCUGAGGGGCCCCCCAGCGGUUUUUCGCAGCCACAUGCCGUCGACAACUCACUCCACUGGUCGUCGUGAUGCCCAGCGUCCCGCACGGAGACCAGUCCGGGAUUUUCGGGGCUCUGCUCGCCUGCCCCCCAGACAAUUUCGAGCUCCAGAGCCCUUCCGCCCUCCCACUAGGGCCCCGAGGGGCCGGGGGGGCAGAGAUUGAGGCUUUGGGGCCGGCGGUCGGACUUUUUUCGCAUCAGCAGCUCCAACAGUGGGCUACUCAUGCUUCAGACCCGUGGGUGGUCGCCACCCUAACCUACGGGUACAAACUUCAAUUUCGCCGUCGGCCCCCCACAUCCGGCCGGGUCAGAAUGACAUCCAUCAGCGACCCGGCAAAGGUUCUCGCAUUGGACCAGGAGCUGUCUGCCCUCCUGGCCAAGGGCGCCAUCGAGCCUGUAGACCCUGGGUCAGAUCACCGGGGGUUCUACUCAACGUACUUUUUAGUGAAAAAAAAGACAGGCGGAUUCCGCCCAAUCCUAGACCUCAGAGGGUUGAACAAAUUUCUGAAGGUCAUACCUUUUCACAUGCUGACCACAGCAGAUGUCCUCAGAACGGUGGCUCAUGGGGACUGCUUCACAUCAAUAGACCUCAAGGACGCGUACUUUCACGUCCCAAUUGCUCAGCAACACAGGCAGUUUCUGCGCUUCGCAUACCGCGGCCGCCGCUGGCAGUUCAGGGUGCUGCCCUUCGGCCUCUCUCUCUCCCCAAGGGUCUUCACAAGGUGUGUGUCUGCAGCCCUAGCACCUCUACAGUCUCGG
RNAcentral lists this long non-coding RNA (1046 nucleotides) under Gouania willdenowi (blunt-snouted clingfish). RNAcentral describes it as "lncRNA (ENSGWIG00000011783.1)". Lineage: Eukaryota; Metazoa; Chordata; Actinopteri; Blenniiformes; Gobiesocidae. The record is from RNAcentral.